Molecule: transfer RNA, 73 nt
Filed under: Ailuropoda melanoleuca (giant panda)
Lineage: Eukaryota; Metazoa; Chordata; Mammalia; Carnivora; Ursidae
Rfam family: tRNA
About the family: Transfer RNA (tRNA) molecules are approximately 80 nucleotides in length.
Source: Rfam by way of RNAcentral
GCCUGGCUGGCUCAGUUGGUAGAUCAUGUGACUCUUGAUCUCAGGGUGGUGAGUUCGAGCCCCACACUAGGUG